Molecule: transfer RNA, 77 nt
Filed under: Lysobacterales bacterium
Lineage: Bacteria; Pseudomonadati; Pseudomonadota; Gammaproteobacteria; Lysobacterales
Also listed under: 5 other names
Description: tRNA-Pro
Rfam family: tRNA
About the family: Transfer RNA (tRNA) molecules are approximately 80 nucleotides in length. Their secondary structure includes four short double-helical elements and three loops (D, anti-codon, and T loops).
Source: RNAcentral
CGGGCAGUAGCGCAGCUUGGUAGCGCAUCAGUCUGGGGGACUGGGGGUCGCAGGUUCAAAUCCUGUCUGCCCGACCA